Molecule: long non-coding RNA, 404 nt
Filed under: Gallus gallus (chicken)
Lineage: Eukaryota; Metazoa; Chordata; Aves; Galliformes; Phasianidae
Description: long non-coding RNA NONGGAT012067
Source: RNAcentral
GGCGAGUGAGGUGGAGCUGCGGGCGGGACGCUGGCCGUCUCUCCCCCCUUCCAGGCCGGCUCAGCUCGCUGCGGAGAAAGGCACGUGCUUCGCUCGGACUUCGGUGCAGUGCUGCAGGACACCAGCCUUGACACACUUCUCCCUUUCCUUGCUGUCCUUCACAUUGUGAAUAAGUGAACCUUCAGCCCUGCAAGCCUUGUACGCAAUUCAAAGUGCAAGAGCCAAUGCACUUGCCAUCAGAAGGACAGAGCAGGACACCUUGCGUUCUGAGGAUGUGAAGGCAAUUGAAGAAAUGGCCUUCUGCAGGCUGUCAGUGACAGAUACCAGCUCACUCACAUCGAUAAAGCUCAAUUAGCUGCCGGAGAAGGCAUCUUUUAAAAAUGUAAUGAGCUGCACCAUGGAAG